This is a regulatory RNA element of Lactococcus garvieae Lg2, 117 nucleotides long. It matches the Rfam family "FMN riboswitch aptamer (RFN element)". Rfam says of the family: The RFN element is a highly conserved domain that is found frequently in the 5'-untranslated regions of prokaryotic mRNAs that encode for flavin mononucleotide (FMN) biosynthesis and transport proteins. This element is a metabolite-dependent riboswitch that directly binds FMN in the absence of proteins. The record is from Rfam. NCBI's taxonomy places the organism in Bacteria, Bacillati, Bacillota, Bacilli, Lactobacillales, Streptococcaceae.
ACUUAUCUUCAGGGCACCGUGAAAUUCGGGACCGGCGGUUAAAGUCCGCGAAGCUGAAAAGCUUGAUGUGGUGGAAUUCCACAACCGACAGUAAAGUCUGGAUGGGAGAAGAAUAAG